Molecule: ribosomal RNA, 253 nt
Filed under: uncultured bacterium
Lineage: Bacteria
Description: partial 16S ribosomal RNA
Rfam family: Bacterial small subunit ribosomal RNA
Source: RNAcentral
UAUGGAGGGUGCAAGCGUUAUCCGGAUUCACUGGGUUUAAAGGGUGCGUAGGUGGGCAGGUAAGUCAGUGGUGAAAUCUCUGGGCUUAACCCAGAAACUGCCGUUGAUACUAUCUGUCUUGAAUAUAGUGGAGGUGAGCGGAAUAUGUCAUGUAGCGGUGAAAUGCUUAGAUAUGACAUAGAACACCCAUUGCGAAGGCAGCUCGCUACACUAUUAUUGACACUGAGGCACGAAAGCGUGGGGAUCAAACAGG